UUAGCUAUUAAUUUCUAUUGAAUUUUUUAUUGUGAUUAAAAGAGUUUUUAGCUAAUUUUAUUUUAAGAUUAUUUUUUAUUGUUGAAAAAAUUAAAAAUAAAUUGUUUAAAACAAAAAUUAAAAUUUAUAAUAUUUCUGUUUUUUAUUUUUAGUUAAAAAUAAAAAUAAUAAAUAUGAAAAAUAGAAAAAUUUUGUUAUAAAUUAAAUUGGUUUUUUAAAAUUAAAAAUAUUUUUUAUAAAUUUAUUUUUUUUUAUUUUUUUAGAAAAAAAAAAAUUUAAUUAUUAUUAUUGAAAUUAAUUUAAUUAUUUAGUAAAAAAUUUUAUAUUAAAUAAAUUAAAUAAUAAAUGUUUUUUAAAUUCUUUGGGGAUUUAUUUUUUGAUUUUUUAUUUCUGCUCAUUGUUAAAGAAAAGCACUUUUAGCGUGAUUGGUCAAAGGUA
This 438-nucleotide unclassified non-coding RNA is filed under the name Meloidogyne haplanaria. RNAcentral describes it as "partial contains tRNA-His and 16S ribosomal RNA". Lineage: Eukaryota; Metazoa; Nematoda; Chromadorea; Rhabditida; Meloidogynidae. The record is from RNAcentral.